UCUAAAAACACUUCAGAUGAAGUCUUAAACAGAAAUAAAUAGGCGGAGAAAAAAGAUGUGAAAGUCAAAUAAAAAGCCCAAAACCAGUCUGGUUGGUGAGGAGAGAAAUCAAUACACCAGCACAUGUAGUCUCCAACAAUGAAAAUAUGGUAAAAUUGCUCCCUUUCCACUAGCCGGCUUGGCAUUGUCUAAGGGGCUCCGUGUCCUUAUCAGAGAGUGCAUAGAAGGAGUGGCGUAGAGCUGGAAAGAAGAAAAGGUCUCGAUUCUACAAGUGGAACAAGGGAAAAGGAACAUUAAUGGAAUGACUUGCAAGGGAAACUGUGAUAUUAUCAGGAAAUUUGGCUAAUUACUAAGCAAGUUUGUGUACUCUGAGAAGUCCUACCAAGAUUGUGAAAGUAUUUAUUUCAUAACGACAUGGCCAGAAUCCAAGGGCUGGGUUUAUAUUGAGUUUCCCCACCGUGAAGCAGAAGAG
Long non-coding RNA from Callorhinus ursinus (northern fur seal), 472 nucleotides. RefSeq lists it as uncharacterized. The record is from RefSeq and is a predicted model, not a curated record. Lineage: Eukaryota; Metazoa; Chordata; Mammalia; Carnivora; Otariidae.